Cygnus olor (mute swan) is the source of this 6040-nucleotide long non-coding RNA. RefSeq lists it as uncharacterized. NCBI's taxonomy places the organism in Eukaryota, Metazoa, Chordata, Aves, Anseriformes, Anatidae. The transcript has 5 exons. The record is from RefSeq and is a predicted model, not a curated record.
UCCUGACUUUCAGUGAAAAUAUAAGCUGGUAUUUAAUUAUAAUGUGAAGUGUGAACUUUUUAAAAAAUAUUUUGGUGGAAAGGGGCAUGGAAGAAGAAAAACUGAACCAAGUAAGGUUGCCUCAUACUUCAGUAAAGCAAACUGGAGCAAGGGUUGAAAUCCACUGUCCUAUAGGUCUCAUGGCCAUUUAGUAAAGAAUCUGCUGCAUUGUUCUGCUUCUUUCAUUUCAGAAUAGAGCUUCAACAGAAGUGAAGGAGUCCCAUGUCAGACUUACCCUGACAAAUAGGGUUUCUCAACUGGCAGAUGCAAGACCAGCAUGCUAGGAUGCAUGAGCAUGCCGAUUGUCUGAAAAUACUGAAACUGAUGGAAAGGCUCACUGGUGGCAUACACCAGCCUAAAGAUGUCAUGUUUCAGGUGCAGAGAUGAAGACAAGAAAUACACCCAGGUCAGAGGAGACCUUCAACAGCUCAAUAUGCCAAGAUGACACUGUAAGACCUAAGGACAGGACUUAUUAGCCACCCAUUCAUUUUCAUUUGCUACUUUCUACUUUCAGUUUAUUAAAAGUGGCUACAAUUUUGUCUUCUUAAGAUCACUGCUAAUUUAUCCUGCUUAGAACAAGCAGAAACCUAAAAGUCUGAUGGUCACAUUAGUAACCCUGUUAUUUGCAGAUUGCUAAAGAAAAAAAAAAAAAGUGUUUUGCUUCAGUCAAAAUAAUGAAAGAGAAUUAUAAAGCCUGACAAGUAAAAACAAUAAAAUGUAGAAAGUAAUAAAACUGUCACAAGGGAAAGACAAGAAGGAAGAUUUAAUGAGGCAGAAUGGACAAGUAAGUAAACUAUUUAUAUGAAGUCUCCAUUCAGACAUGACGUGCUUCACUAUCUCUCAUUAAGCCUCACACCCAUGCAUAGGCCUGACCUGCUGCAUUGGAUGUCCUCACUCUUCUGUUUCCCUAACUGUAUGACAUUUAUUGCAGACUAAUCAUGAAUAGUUCUUUUAGUGGUAAUUUGUUGUCUUCUUCAUGUUGGCCAAUACUGAUAGACUCAGCCUAUGCUCAACGAAUGAAUACCUGGUGAAAAGCCUCACUAUAAAGAAUGAUAAAAGGAUUUUUUUUCUGCACAGAGAUCAGAGGUCUUCAAAAGGCAUGGUUCAGCUGAUGAGCAUGCAGUCAGAAGAUAUGAAGCUAAAUUUCUACUAUUUUCACCUGAUUUUCUCUUGGCUAAAAAAUAUAUUCAGCUACAUUUCAGAAGCUCCAAGAGCAGAGGCAAGGAAACAUGAACAAUGGAUUACACAUGAGUUCCUCGAAAGUCACAGAAUAUAUAUGUGAAUGGCCUUCUUGGAUGGCAAGAUGGCUCCGGGAGAUACACUGAUGAUACAUUUUGCCUGUGGUUUGAAGGAAGGUUGGGAGCAUGAAAUCUGCUAAGAAGACUGAAUCCCCAUUUCCAGUAUUGCACGGAAAACUAGUGACCAUUUUAUAUCUGCAGUGCUUCUUGUCACAAUGACUCUGCCUAGAACACCUUAUGAAUUAAUGCAAUUCUAAGCAAUUUCUUUAGCCCAGAAGCAUGGUGAACUGCUAGCAGAGAAUACAUCACAAAUUUUACAUAGCAUGUUGCUAGUCUUUAGUGAACCAACUCUCAAAUCAAUUACGUCUGCUGGCAAGGAAGCCUUAACACUGUAAAUAAUUUAAAGUGCAAACUGUGUGGCAUACAACUCCUUUCAUCAGCAGAAAGAUUGAUUUCACCUUGUAUCUCUGCUCUACAGAAAUGGCCUUUUUUAGUUAAGUUUUCAAAGUUAUCACAAUAAAGCAGUAAAGUCUGAAGCAUGUAACACAAGUUACAACUGUUCUUCUUGGAUCUGAUAGACAGUCAUUAAUCAGAGUAAAAAUUACUGAGAAGGCAACAUUAAACACUUUUCUGUUCCCAUUAUAAAUUUGCAAAAGGAGUUUGUAGAAAAUAUUUUAUUUUAAACAUUGACGAACUGUAGAACUUUAUUCAGGAUCAAAUGCAGAAGGAAAAGCCAAUGAUUCUGGAGCACAUUUAGAACUUGGUCACAAUAAAUUCAGUCCAUUUCAUUUGUUACGCCAUUUGCCAUACAGAUCUGUAUGUGCCCAGCUAUGUAGAUCUGCCUUUUUUGCCUCAUCUGACUGUGAGUUAUCUGAACCCAGUGUCCAGGGAGCUGAGAAUGGUUUUACUUGUGGUGGUUCAGAAAACAUUCUCCCUUAUCCUCCCCAGCUCUAUGUACCAAAAAUCCCUCCUAUUAAGAAAGCCUUUGCUGGUGUGGUUUCCCCACUUUUGUGCCUGGCACUCAGGGGUAAAGACAGAAAAGUUCCAGAGAUACAAUCUCCCGAGAAAGGGAAAGGGAGAGGGAGGUGCUGAUCUCUGCUCACUGGGAACCGAUGACAAGAUGCAAGGAAACAGCACAAAGCUGAGCCUGGGGAGGUUCGGACUGGGCACUGGGAAAAAUUUCUUUAUCAUAAGGGUGGUCAAACACUGGAACAGCCUUCCUAGCCAGGUGGUUGUUGCCCCAUGCCUGUCAGUGUUCAAGAGGCAUUUGGACACCGCCCUCAUUAAUGUGCUUUAACUCUCGGUUAGCCCCGAAGUGGUCAGGCAGUUGGACAGUAUCUUUCUAGGUCCUUUCCAGCUGAAGUAUUCUGCUCUAGUCUAGCCUAGUCUAUAUCCUUUAGUCCAAAGUCAACUUUCAUGGCUAAGUUGACAGCACAUUGCCUUACCAAGGAAUGUGCUUCCUACAACUAAUCUAAGCAGACUUAAGGAAAAAACACAUUAUUCUUUAAUACACACUGAAAAAAUGCUUUUCAUUAAGCCUAUAAAAAUGGAACUAGCUUUUCAAUUAUAGAAUAUGCAAUUGGCUUCAGAAGCCAGAACAAAAUUGAAAAAAAAAUUGUUUAACCCACUUGUGUUUAGGAUUAUAGUCAAGGGCUCUAACAAAGUACACAUUUCUCUGCUUAUGGAAUAGCCUUUGAAAGCUGAGUGGUGAAUGUGUUUUACUAACAUAUUCUGGGAGUCCAGAAAAAAAUAGAUUUCGUUAGAAUUGGAGCUAUAUGGCUACUUAUUCCAUUACUAGAUCAGAAGGGCUGAUAUUGUGUAUGCAUAGAUUUUUUUAAAAUUAGUUUUUGGGUGGUUUUUUUUUUUUUGCAAACCUUGCAGAUGUGAAAGGAUGUCCUUGGACAAAGUCAGAAAGGAAUUUCAGCACAGAGAACCUAAUUUCCACUAUGUAUAACAAGUUUUAUUUUGUGACUAGCUUGCCUGCACAAUACCAGAAUUAGAAUCCAAUCUGAGGUAUCUCAUUGUAGACAACAAUCUAUCCAUCAAAUCCAGUCUUUGAAUUUGGCCCUUUUUACAGUAACUUAACAGUAGUUCAAAAGGAAUAGAAACCUGAACAUUUCAAAAAAUGCCCCAAAACCAAAAAGGAUUAUUCAAUCACUUUUGUCAGGCCUUCUAUUUUAUUUUUCUACUUACCUUCUAUUUUCCUUCUUUCAGAUCCCAUGCUCAGCAUACACUGUACUCUUUUAGGCUUAGAACACUUGAAAAAUGAAAUUAGACAGAACAAAGCUGCUUUUUGUUCUGUUAAUACUGCCAUAAAAUUCUUGUGUCCUUGGGUUGAAAGUCCGAAAUCAAACUCUAUACAAGAUCUAAAUAAUAAAAUCCAUAGGAAUUCCACAAAAUUGUGAAAAUUCAAAUACAGGCCAAUACUGCCAUAUAGCCAUGUACACAAAAGUGAUGCUGCCUGUCUUCCAUCUCUACACUCCGUGUCAGCUGAACUGUGCUGUUUGAAGACCAUUGACCUCUAUUUGUUCAUCAUAACUACACAGACUUUCUCUUUAUCAUUCUGUAUGAAGGGCCAAAACAGAGCAUUGUUCAACAGCUGCAGCGCCAACACGCUACACGCCUGUAGUUUUGACUUUUGCAUACACUAAAGCCUUCACGCUCUAAUCUUAGACCUUACACCAUCAUAACAAACUAGAGAGCAACUAAAAAUCAAACUUUGUGUUCUAAAAUACGAUUUUAGCCAUAUAUGUCCUUGGGAUUGCAGAAGUAGAUGUUCACUUUUGACUUGAAGGUAGAGCCUCAUAAAGUUAUUGCUACUGUCAUUUGUUUUUCUGAGCAAAGGAAGAGAGCAAAAACAUUAAAUGAGCCUUUCAGGCUUCCUGCCCAGUCCUGUUUACUCUGUUCUAAAGAAAAUACCUGUCAGUGUCUUUGUCAGUGUGAAAGGAGACUUCACCAUCUCAAAGAAGACUGCAUGUGUUCAGCACACUCAUGAUCUAAGUUUGAGAAGUUUAUUAAUUUCAGUGGAUUCCCAUUAAAAUCUGGAUCAUUUCACUCAUGGCUCAGAGGGGCUGAUAAAUGCAGAGCUGUUUCCCGAAACGGUUUUCAAAUGUUUGUUAAUGCAAAGAUUGUGAUCUUGGAAAAGGCUGCAAUGAUUUAAUCCCAGUUUUAGAGAGGAAGAAACCUUUGGAAGAAAUUUAAGUUUUUGUUCUAACUCCAUAAACACAUAAAAAUGAAAGAUAUUUUUUCUUAGUCACCAUUGUCUUCGUUCCUUUAUUUGCUUUUCUCAUUUAAAGCAAAUUGUCUUUCUGCUUAGAAAGCAAGGAAAUUAGUACAAUAGUAAGUCAUGCAUCUGGAAGGCAUAAUUAAUUCCACCUGUUUUACCCAAGAAUGUCUCCAAAAUAAAAUAAUAUUAUUUACAGUUCAUGGAUGGUACCUCUUUAUGGCUAGUUCAUGGUUGAGUCCUCAGAGAGAAGAAUUACCUCUGGUAGGGAAAACCUACAAAUACAGUGGUAGGCUACAGCUUUUUUGCAUGCCUGGUCUUUUCACUCUCUACCACAAACUGAAUGUUUUGAAUUUUAGCACAAUAACAGGAAUGACCUUGUAAUUUUGCUUUGCUCUAUCCUCUCAUGAGAUUUCAAUAACUACAUGGAAUUUGAGUUGUCUUCUGAGAAACCAAAGAAUGCCCUACAGCAGUGGGAUUAGCUCUUUAUUAGGCAGCAGGCUUCUCAGGAAGACACAGUAGUAUUUUUUUUGUUCCAGCAGUAUCUUUCAGAUGAGGUAUAAAAUAGCCUCAGAACCUCUGGGUAUCAAAAUUUCUACAGACUGUUUUGCAAGUGACGGAUGAACUUACUCUCUGGAGGAAGACAAAAGGAAAGCAACUCUCCUGCCAUUGGAGUGGGUUGAAGGGAGGAUGUGCAAAGGCUGUUUAUUUAUUUAUUUAUUUGUGGGUUUGUGUUUUGGGGGUAUUUUAUGGCUUGCUGACAGACUCAAUAAGUUAAAAAAAAACUUUUUGAUUGCACUUCGAGUCUUAUUUACAUAUAUACUCACUGAGACAAAGGCUGAUUGAAUGAAAAAUAAUGCCCUAUUCCAGCUACUCAGUUUCUCUAAGAGUUAGCUUUACAAAGCCUUACCAUGUGUCAGCUUAAGCUUGCUAAAAGGCAAAAGUUUGUUUCAGAUAAAAGGCACUAUUUAAAGCUGCCACGCUCAGCUACACCUCUGCAUACAUUAAAGACAACACCAAGAUUGCCACCAAACUUGGACAGUUAAAAAGUAAACACUGAAAAAUCCACAGACAUUCAAUAUUUUGAGUCACAGUUCCACAGAAUUCAGCAUGAGAAAUUCAAAAGGAAAUUACAUAAAGUGCCCUGAUACAGGCAAAUGACAUGAUUUUUAUCUAGGCAUAUACAAAUACUUUAUAUAUAUACCAAUACAUGCAAAUUGCUAACUUACAUGCAAAUUUAACUCUUCUUGCUAUAUACUGAAUUUUCUAUGACACAACUCGUGUCGCUUCAUAAAAUAGGGUUUCAAAAAUCCUAAAUCCUAAAAUUGGAUUUCAAAAAAUGGUAGUUAAUUUUUUUCAGGUGGUAAAAAUAGUUUGUAGUUCACUUUUCAGGGGGAAAAAAACAGGUUCAAAUAAUCUUGUGGUGGACAACAGCUAGACUAGAAUGGUAAAACGACUUAUAAAAGGCUUCCAGUUAGUCACUAUCUUCUUAGAUAAAUUUGUCCACUUUCAAUCAUCUCUACCAUAGAUAUUUUCUAUA